This is a long non-coding RNA of Ostrinia furnacalis (Asian corn borer), 310 nucleotides long. RefSeq lists it as uncharacterized. NCBI's taxonomy places the organism in Eukaryota, Metazoa, Arthropoda, Insecta, Lepidoptera, Crambidae. The record is from RefSeq and is a predicted model, not a curated record. The transcript is spliced from 2 exons.
UUCAUACAAAAUUAAAUCUUAGAUGACUAAGGGUCAUUUUUUUAAAGCAUAGCUCAGGUCAUAUAGCAGGCAAAUCAACUCGGAAAGGGAUCAACAACGUAUCGCCUUUUGUGGCAUGGAGGUAAUAGUGGAGAGGAAAUAUAGAUCUAUACAAAAAUUGAACAAAUUAAUGACAAACAGCUGUUUAUCUCUUUCUAACUUACCCCUGGUGAUGUAUAAAAAAAGAAAUAGAUAAUGUUUGGUCAGUACUCAUUCUGGCAACAUUUUCAUGUGACGUCACUAACUACCUGACUUGUGCCGAGUAGGUACC